This 433-nucleotide ribosomal RNA is filed under the name uncultured bacterium. RNAcentral's name for it is "partial 16S ribosomal RNA". It matches the Rfam family "Bacterial small subunit ribosomal RNA", at positions 29 to 507 of the family's 1533-position model. The record is from RNAcentral.
AACGAACGCUGGCGGCAUGCCUAACACAUGCAAGUCGAACGAGACCUUCGGGUCUAGUGGCGCACGGGUGCGUAACGCGUGGGAAUCUACCCUCAGGUUCGGAAUAACUCAGAGAAAUUUGAGCUAAUACCAGAUGAUGACGUAAGUCCAAAGAUUUAUCGCCUGAGGAUGAGCCCGCUUAGGAUUAGGUAGUUGGUGAGGUAAAGGCUCACCAAGCCGACGAUCCUUAGCUGGUCUGAGAGGAUGAUCAGCCACACUGGGACUGAGACACGGCCCAGACUCCUACGGGAGGCAGCAGUGGGGAAUAUUGGACAAUGGGCGAAAGCCUGAUCCAGCAAUGCCGCGUGAGUGAUGAAGGCCUUAGGGUUGUAAAGCUCUUUUACCCGGGAUGAUAAUGACAGUACCGGGAGAAUAAGCUCCGGCUAACUCCGUG